AGCUUCUGUAGGUAACCUGUGUGAGGAAGAGUCAUGUUGCCACCAAAUCUGUUUCAAUGAUGGUACCCAGGAAGGUACUCUUGUGUUUGGUUCAAGAGAGCACUUGGGAACACCCAUGUUUACUGACCAGAACCAUGAGCAAGUGUUUAUGUUUUACCAUUAGCUCAUAAUUAAAUACCAGUAUGAGAAUAUCUUUCAGGGCCCCAGAGAUUUCCAUGGCAUGAGCUUGCACCAUCAGUGAACCCAUAACAUUGGAGCAAUGAGCAGAUUGAACAGUAGUGCAGUCCACUGGUAAAAUCAGUCACUAAAAACACCAGUGGCAUGCCCCCCUUUCCUCUUUGGCUUCUCCUCCUGUCGCAUGUUCAUAUCUACCAAUGACAAGCCAACAUAUAAUUUUUGGGAUUGUAG
Molecule: non-coding RNA, 408 nt
Organism: Pelobates cultripes (western spadefoot toad)
Lineage: Eukaryota; Metazoa; Chordata; Amphibia; Anura; Pelobatidae
Source: the annotation of a GenBank genome assembly